CAGGGAUUGCCUCAGUAACGGCGAGUGAAGCGGCAAGAGCUCAAAUUUGAAAUCUGGCCCCUUCGGGGUCCGAGUUGUAAUUUGUAGAGGAUGUUCCGGGUGCGGCGCCGGUCUAAGUCCCCUGGAACAGGGCGUCAUAGAGGGUGAGAAUCCCGUAUGCGACCGGCGACCAACCCCGUGUGAAACUCCUUCGACGAGUCGAGUUGUCUGGGAAUGCAGCUCCAAAUGGGUGGUAAAUUUCAUCUAAAGCUAAAUACCGGCCAGAGACCGAUAGCGCACAAGUAGAGUGAUCGAAAGAUGAAAAGCACUUUGGAAAGAGAGUCCAAAAGUACGUGAAAUUGUUGAAAGGGAAGCGCUUGCAACCAGACCUGUCCGCGGGCGAUCAACCCCUGUUCUCAGGGGUGCAUUCGCCCGCGAUCAGGCCAGCAUCGGUUCGGGCGGCGGGAUAAAGGCCUCGGGAAUGUAGCUCCCUUCGGGGAGUGUUAUAGCCCUUGGUGCAAUGCGGCCAGCCCGGACCGAGGACCGCGCUUCGGCUAGGAUGCUGGCGUAAUGGUUGUAAGCGACCCGUCUUGAAACACGGACCAAGGAGUCGACCAUCUAUGCGAGUGUUUGGGCGUCAAACCCAUGCGCGUAAUGAAAGUGAACGGAGGUGAGAACCUCUCGGGGGCGCUCCAUCGACCGAUCCAGAUGUCUUCGGAUGGAUUUGAGUACGAGCAUAACUGGUCUGUCCCGAAAGAUGGUGAUCUAUACUUGAAUAGGGUGAAGCCAGAGGAAACUCUGGUGGAGGCUCGCAGCGGUUCUGACGUGCAAAUCGAUCGUCAAAUUUGAGUAUAGGGGCGAAAGACUAAUCGAACCAUCUAGUAGCUGGUUCCUGCCGAAGUUUCCCUCAG
RNAcentral lists this ribosomal RNA (890 nucleotides) under Rhizoplaca chrysoleuca. Its description in RNAcentral is "LSU rRNA". It matches the Rfam family "Eukaryotic large subunit ribosomal RNA", at positions 69 to 976 of the family's 3401-position model. Lineage: Eukaryota; Fungi; Ascomycota; Lecanoromycetes; Lecanorales; Lecanoraceae. The record is from RNAcentral.